GAUGAACGCUGGCGGCGUGCCUAAUACAUGCAAGUCGAGCGAACGGACGAGAAGCUUGCUUCUCUGAUGUUAGCGGCGGACGGGUGAGUAACACGUGGAUAACCUACCUAUCAUACUGGGAUAACUUCGGGAAACCGUAGCUAAUACCGGAUAAUAUUUUGAACCGCAUGGUUCAAAAGUGAAAGACGGUCUUGCUGUCACUUAUAGAUGGAUCCGCGCUGCAUUAGCUAGUUGGUAAGGUAACGGCUUACCAAGGCAACGAUGCGUAGCCGACCUGAGAGGGUGAUAGGCGACACGGGAGGGGAGACACGGUCCAGACGCCUACGGGAGGCAGCAGUAGGGAAUCUUCCGCAAUGGGCGAAAGCCUGACGGAGCAAGGCCGCGUGAGUGAUGAAGGUCUUCGGAUCGUAAAGCUCUGUUAUUAGGGAAGAACAGAUGUGUAAGUAACUGUGCACAUCGUGACGGUACCUAAUCAGAAAGCCACGGCUAACUACGUG
This 497-nucleotide ribosomal RNA is filed under the name uncultured bacterium. Its description in RNAcentral is "partial 16S ribosomal RNA". It matches the Rfam family "Bacterial small subunit ribosomal RNA", at positions 28 to 507 of the family's 1533-position model. The record is from RNAcentral.